Molecule: ribosomal RNA, 1394 nt
Filed under: uncultured bacterium
Lineage: Bacteria
Description: bacterial SSU rRNA
Rfam family: Bacterial small subunit ribosomal RNA
Source: RNAcentral
UGCAAGUCGAACGGACGAGAAGGAAAGUUUACUGGAAUUCGAGUUAGUGGCGGACGGGCGAGUAACGCGUGAGCAACCUGCCUUUCAGUGGGGAAUAACGUUUGGAAACGAACGCUAAUACCGCAUAACAUAUUUUGUAGGCAUCUACGAGAUAUCAAAGGAGCAAUUCGCUGAGAGAUGGGCUCGCGUCCGAUUAGCUAGUUGGUGGGGUAACGGCCCACCAAGGCGACGAUCGGUAGCCGAACUGAGAGGUUGAUCGGCCGCAUUGGGACUGAGACACGGCCCAGACUCCUACGGGAGGCAGCAGUGGGGGAUAUUGCACAAUGGAGGAAACUCUGAUGCAGCAACGCCGCGUGAGGGAAGAAGGUCUUCGGAUUGUAAACCUAAGUUGUCAGGGACGAAGGAAAUGACGGUACCUGAAGAGAAAGCUCCGGCUAACUACGUGCCAGCAGCCGCGGUAAUACGUAGGGAGCGAGCGUUGUCCGGAUUUACUGGGUGUAAAGGGUGCGUAGGCGGGUUUGCAAGUCAGGCGUGAAAUACCGAGGCUCAACUUCGGGGCUGCGCUUGAAACUGUAGAUCUUGAGUGAAGUAGAGGCAAGCGGAAUUCCUAGUGUAGCGGUGAAAUGCGUAGAUAUUAGGAGGAACACCAGUGGCGAAGGCGGCUUGCUGGGCUUUAACUGACGCUGAGGCACGAAAGCAUGGGGAGCAAACAGGAUUAGAUACCCUGGUAGUCCAUGCCGUAAACGAUGAUAACUAGGUGUGGGGGGACUGACCCCUUCCGUGCCGGAGUAAACACAAUAAGUUAUCCACCUGGGGAGUACGACCGCAAGGUUGAAACUCAAAGGAAUUGACGGGGGCCCGCACAAGCAGUGGAGUAUGUGGUUUAAUUCGAAGCAACGCGAAGAACCUUACCAGGUCUUGACAUCCGACUAACGAAACAGAGAUGUAUCAGGUGCCCUUCGGGGAAAGUCGAGACAGGUGGUGCAUGGUUGUCGUCAGCUCGUGUCGUGAGAUGUUGGGUUAAGUCCCGCAACGAGCGCAACCCUUGUCAUUAGUUGCUACGCAAGAGCACUCUAAUGAGACUGCCGUUGACAAAACGGAGGAAGGUGGGGACGACGCCAAAUCAUCAUGCCCCUUAUGACCUGGGCUACACACGUACUACAAUGGCCGCAAACAGAGGGAAGCAAGGGAGCGAUCCGGAGCAAACCCCUAAAAGCGGUCCCAGUUCAGAUUGCAGGCUGCAACUCGCCUGUAUGAAGUCGGAAUUGCUAGUAAUCGCGGAUCAGCAUGCCGCGGUGAAUACGUUCCCGGGCCUUGUACACACCGCCCGUCACACCAUGGGAGCCGGUAAUACCCGAAGUCAGUAGCCCAACCAUUCAGGAGGGCGCUGCCGA